This 630-nucleotide ribosomal RNA is filed under the name uncultured Methylobacter sp. RNAcentral's name for it is "bacterial SSU rRNA". It matches the Rfam family "Bacterial small subunit ribosomal RNA", at positions 202 to 820 of the family's 1533-position model. Lineage: Bacteria; Pseudomonadati; Pseudomonadota; Gammaproteobacteria; Methylococcales; Methylococcaceae. The record is from RNAcentral.
AGGGGAUCUUCGGACCUUUCGCUAUGAGAUGAGCCUGCGUUAGAUUAGCUAGUUGGUAGGGUAAAGGCCUACCAAGGCGACGAUCUAUAGCUGGUCUGAGAGGACGAUCAGCCACACUGGGACUGAGACACGGCCCAGACUCCUACGGGAGGCAGCAGUGGGGAAUAUUGGACAAUGGGCGAAAGCCUGAUCCAGCAAUACCGCGUGUGUGAAGAAGGCCUUAGGGUUGUAAAGCACUUUCAAUUGGGAGGAAAACCUGCCGGCCAAUACCCGGUAGCUUGACAUUACCUAUAGAAGAAGCACCGGCUAACUCCGUGCCAGCAGCCGCGGUAAUACGGAGGGUGCGAGCGUUAAUCGGAAUUACUGGGCGUGAAGCGUGCGUAGGCGGUUCGUUAAGUCAGAUGUGAAAGCCCUGGGCUCAACCUGGGAACUGCAUUUGAAACUGGCGGACUAGAGUUUAGUAGAGGGGAGUGGAAUUUCAGGUGUAGCGGUGAAAUGCGUAGAUAUCUGAAGGAACACCAGUGGCGAAGGCGACUCCCUGGACUAGAACUGACGCUGAGGUACGAAAGCGUGGGUAGCAAACAGGAUUAGAUACCCUGGUAGUCCACGCCGUAAACGAUGUCGACUAGC